AACGAACGCUGGCGGCAUGCCUAACACAUGCAAGUCGAACGAUCCCUUCGGGGAGAGUGGCGCACGGGUGCGUAACGGGUGGGAACCUGCCCUUAGGUUCGGAAUAAAUCAGAGAAAUUUGAGCGAAUACCGGAUAAUGUCUUCGGACCAAAGAUUUAUCGCCUUUGGAUGGGCCCGCGUUGGAUUAGCUAGUUGGUGGGGUAAAGGCCUACCAAGGCGACGAUCCAUAGCUGGUCUGAGAGGAUGAUCAGCCACACUGGGACUGAGACACGGCCCAGACUCCUACGGGAGGCAGCAGUGGGGAAUAUUGGACAAUGGGCGAAAGCCUGAUCCAGCAAUGCCGCGUGAGUGAUGAAGGCCUUAGGGUUGUAAAGCUCUUUUACCCGGGAUGAUAAUGACAGUACCGGGAGAAUAAGCCCCGGCUAACUCCGUG
This 433-nucleotide ribosomal RNA is filed under the name uncultured bacterium. Its description in RNAcentral is "partial 16S ribosomal RNA". It matches the Rfam family "Bacterial small subunit ribosomal RNA", at positions 29 to 507 of the family's 1533-position model. The record is from RNAcentral.